AUUGAACGCUGGCGGCAUGCCUUACACAUGCAAGUCGAACGGUAACGGGCCUUCGGGUGCCGACGAGUGGCGCACGGGUGAGUAAUACAUCGGAACGUGCCCGAUCGUGGGGGAUAACGAGGCGAAAGCUUUGCUAAUACCGCAUACGAUCUACGGAUGAAAGCAGGGGACCGCAAGGCCUUGCGCGGACGGAGCGGCCGAUGGCAGAUUAGGUAGUUGGUGGGAUAAAAGCUUACCAAGCCGACGAUCUGUAGCUGGUCUGAGAGGAUGAUCAGCCACACUGGGACUGAGACACGGCCCAGACUCCUACGGGAGGCAGCAGUGGGGAAUUUUGGACAAUGGGCGCAAGCCUGAUCCGGCCAUGCCGCGUGCAGGAUGAAGGCCUUCGGGUUGUAAACUGCUUCUGUACGGAACGAAAAGCCUUCUUUUAAUACAGGAGGGUCAUGACGGUACCGUAAGAAUAAGCACCGGCUAACUACGUG
RNAcentral lists this ribosomal RNA (482 nucleotides) under uncultured bacterium. Its description in RNAcentral is "partial 16S ribosomal RNA". It matches the Rfam family "Bacterial small subunit ribosomal RNA", at positions 30 to 507 of the family's 1533-position model. The record is from RNAcentral.